Ceratotherium simum simum (southern white rhinoceros) is the source of this 519-nucleotide non-coding RNA. The record is from RefSeq and is a predicted model, not a curated record. NCBI's taxonomy places the organism in Eukaryota, Metazoa, Chordata, Mammalia, Perissodactyla, Rhinocerotidae.
UCUCUCCAGGCGGCAGAAAAGCCGAUUCCAACGUCUUUCCUCGCAGCGCUCCCCGCGUCCCUGAAAGGCGGGCUGGGCCCGAUCACGUGACCGCCCACCCCGGGCGGAAGCAGCCGCCGCGAAGCCGGGCCGCGCGGCCGGAGGCGAGGGGGCGGGCGCUGUGCCCGGCUGAAAGAUGGCCGCCGCCGCCCGGCUGCCGCCGCCCCGCAGGUUCGCCUAGGCCUGCAGCGCCCGCCGCCCGCCGCCGCCGCUUACCAUGAGGCCGGUGAGUCGCCGCACGCUGGACUGGAUCUACUCAGCGUUGCUGCUCGCGGUUGUGUUACUCUCCUGGGGAUACGUCAUCUAUGCAUCGACAGUAGCUGCACGGCGACAGCUAAGGAAGGAAUACCCAAAGUCUUCGGGAUGAACGAAAAUUUGUAAUUCCUCUGGAUAUCAUUCUAUGCAAAUACAGUUCUUUACCUCGUGCUUAUCUGACGUGUGUCUAGAUGUAAAAUCCUCAAUACAAAGCUUCCAACUUUA